AACGAACGCUGGCGGCAGGCUUAACACAUGCAAGUCGAGCGCCUCGCAAGAGGAGCGGCAGACGGGUGAGUAACACGUGGGAACAUACCCUUUACUACGGAACAACUCCGGGAAACUGGAGCUAAUACCGUAUGUGCCCUUUGGGGGAAAGAUUUAUCGGUAAAGGAUUGGCCCGCGUUGGAUCAGCUAGUUGGUGGGGAAAGGCCUACCAAGGCGACGAUCCAUAGCUGGUCUGAGAGGAUGAUCAGCCACAUUGGGACUGAGACACGGCCCAAACUCCUACGGGAGGCAGCAGUGGGGAAUAUUGGACAAUGGGCGCAAGCCUGAUCCAGCCAUGCCGCGUGAGUGAUGAAGGCCUUAGGGUUGUAAAGCUCUUUCACCGAUGAAGAUAAUGACGGUGGUCGGAGAAGAAGCCCCGGCUAACUUCGUGCCAGCCGCCGCGGUAA
Molecule: ribosomal RNA, 446 nt
Filed under: uncultured bacterium
Lineage: Bacteria
Description: partial 16S ribosomal RNA
Rfam family: Bacterial small subunit ribosomal RNA
Source: RNAcentral